This 347-nucleotide long non-coding RNA is filed under the name Ictidomys tridecemlineatus (thirteen-lined ground squirrel). RNAcentral's name for it is "lncRNA (ENSSTOG00000029428.1)". The record is from RNAcentral. Lineage: Eukaryota; Metazoa; Chordata; Mammalia; Rodentia; Sciuridae.
GUCCCUGGCUGGUUGUUUUUGCCUGGUUGGUCGUCAACUUCCCCUUGAAAGGGACCAUGAUUUAUUUCUGACCUGGCUCAGUCCCUGGCACAUCAUUGGUACUGCUCAACAUCGGCGGAGCACCCGACUGAGGGGCCCAGUUCUUCUUGCAGGGAACCUGUUCUUGCAGUCACCCUUGUGCACUUAAGAACCUGGAUCCUGGAGCCACACUGUCCUGGAUGGGGGUUGGCCCUGCUGCUCUGCCAUUCCUUAGCUAAGGACAAGUUAUAUCAGCUUUCUGUGCCUCAGUCUGCGGCUCUGUGAGAUGCAGGUAAUACUAGACCCGGGUUUUUUGAGAAUGAAGUGGG